AGAGUUUGAUCCUGGCUCAGGACGAACGCUGGCGGCGUGCUUAACACAUGCAAGUCGAGCGGUAAGGCCUUUCGGGGUACACGAGCGGCGAACGGGUGAGUAACACGUGGGGAUCUGCCCUGCACUCUGGGAUAAGCUUGGGAAACUGGGUCUAAUACCGGAUAUGACCGCAUGCCGCAUGGUGUGUGGUGGAAAGAUUUAUCGGUGCAGGAUGGGCCCGCGGCCUAUCAGCUUGUUGGUGGGGUAAUGGCCUACCAAGGCGACGACGGGUAGCCGACCUGAGAGGGUGACCGGCCACACUGGGACUGAGACACGGCCCAGACUCCUACGGGAGGCAGCAGUGGGGAAUAUUGCACAAUGGGCGGAAGCCUGAUGCAGCGACGCCGCGUGAGGGAUGAAGGCCUUCGGGUUGUAAACCUCUUUCAGCAGGGACGAAGCGUGAGUGACGGUACCUGCAGAAGAAGCACCGGCUAACUACGUGCCAGCAGCCGCGGUAAUACGUAGGGUGCGAGCGUUGUCCGGAAUUACUGGGCGUAAAGAGUUCGUAGGCGGUUUGUCGCGUCGUUUGUGAAAACCCGGGGCUCAACUUCGGGCUUGCAGGCGAUACGGGCAGACUUGAGUGUUUCAGGGGAGACUGGAAUUCCUGGUGUAGCGGUGAAAUGCGCAGAUAUCAGGAGGAACACCGGUGGCGAAGGCGGGUCUCUGGGAAACAACUGACGCUGAGGAACGAAAGCGUGGGUAGCAAACAGGAUUAGAUACCCUGGUAGUCCACGCCGUAAACGGUGGGCGCUAGGUGUGGGUUCCUUCCACGGGAUCUGUGCCGUAGCUAACGCAUUAAGCGCCCCGCCUGGGGAGUACGGCCGCAAGGCUAAAACUCAAAUGAAUUGACGG
This 891-nucleotide ribosomal RNA is filed under the name uncultured bacterium. RNAcentral describes it as "bacterial SSU rRNA". It matches the Rfam family "Bacterial small subunit ribosomal RNA", at positions 8 to 916 of the family's 1533-position model. The record is from RNAcentral.